RNAcentral lists this ribosomal RNA (243 nucleotides) under uncultured bacterium. Its description in RNAcentral is "partial 16S ribosomal RNA". It matches the Rfam family "Bacterial small subunit ribosomal RNA", at positions 63 to 334 of the family's 1533-position model. The record is from RNAcentral.
CGAGCGAAGACUUCGGUCUUAGCGGCGAACGGGUGAGUAACGCGUGGGAACGUGCCCUUCUCUACGGAAUAGCCCCGGGAAACUGGGUUUAAUACCGUAUACGCCCCUUGGGGGAAAGAUUUAUCGGAGAAGGAUCGGCCCGCGUUGGAUUAGGUAGUUGGUGGGGUAAUGGCCUACCAAGCCGACGAUCCAUAGCUGGUUUGAGAGGAUGAUCAGCCACACUGGGACUGAGACACGGCCCAG